UACAGAGGCCUCGAGCGUUAGGCGGAAUCACUGGGCUUAAAGCGUGUGUAGGCGGAUGUCUAAGUGCUUUGUGAAAUCCCACGGCUCAACCGUGGAAUGGCUUGGCAUACUGGACGUCUUGAGCGGUCUAGGGGCGAGCGGAACAGAUGGUGGAGCGGUGAAAUGCGUAGAUAUCAUCUGGAACGCCAAUGGUGAAAACAGCUCGCUGGGGACCUGCUGACGCUGAGACACGAAAGCCAGGGGAGCAAACGGG
RNAcentral lists this unclassified non-coding RNA (253 nucleotides) under uncultured Tepidisphaerales bacterium. RNAcentral describes it as "contains 16S-23S intergenic spacer region". It matches the Rfam family "Bacterial small subunit ribosomal RNA", at positions 524 to 776 of the family's 1533-position model. The record is from RNAcentral. Lineage: Bacteria; Pseudomonadati; Planctomycetota; Phycisphaerae; Tepidisphaerales.